This 497-nucleotide ribosomal RNA is filed under the name uncultured bacterium. RNAcentral describes it as "partial 16S ribosomal RNA". It matches the Rfam family "Bacterial small subunit ribosomal RNA", at positions 28 to 507 of the family's 1533-position model. The record is from RNAcentral.
GAUGAACGCUGGCGGCGUGCCUAAUACAUGCAAGUCGAGCGAACAGAUAAGGAGCUUGCUCCUUUGACGUUAGCGGCGGACGGGUGAGUAACACGUGGGUAACCUACCUAUAAGACUGGAAUAACUCCGGGAAACCGGGGCUAAUGCCGGAUAACAUUUAGAACCGCAUGGUUCUAAAGUGAAAGAUGGUUUUGCUAUCACUUAUAGAUGGACCCGCGCCGUAUUAGCUAGUUGGUAAGGUAACGGCUUACCAAGGCAACGAUACGUAGCCGACCUGAGAGGGUGAUCGGCCACACUGGAACUGAGACACGGUCCAGACUCCUACGGGAGGCAGCAGUAGGGAAUCUGCCGCAAUGGGCGAAAGCCUGACGGAGCAACGCCGCGUGAGUGAUGAAGGUCUUCGGAUCGUAAAACUCUGUUAUUAGGGAAGAACAAAUGUGUAAGUAACUGUGCACGUCUUGACGGUACCUAAUCAGAAAGCCACGGCUAACUACGUG